AGAAAAGGCUCUAUCCUGAAACUAUAUUUGCAUGUAUGCAAGCCCUUUGAAAUUCUUACACUCCUUUGCGUCUAUUAAACCAAGAGGAUAAGCAACCUGGUAAUUUAGCACGGUCAUGAGCAUUUAUCUACACAGUGGGCUCCAAAUGGGUGUCUGAAGGAGAAUUUGACCUUGUUCCCUGAAGUUUGUGAGCAUAGAGUAUGAAGUCUGUUCCUUGUCUAGACAUGGGAUUGGCUGGAGCUGCACCUUAGAGCAAAGAGGAGAGCCAAGAUUGUAGUGGGAGUAAGCCACAAUUCUACAGUACUCAGGGUUACUGGGACCCAGUAAGACCUGACCUGGAAUGUAAGAGAGGAAGACUUGAAGAAGAAGAAAGAGUGAAGUUUGGAUAUUAAAGAAGGCUGAACCUGUAUAGUAUCUUUUUUUUGUUUUUUGUUUUUUGUUUGUUUGUUUGUUUGUUUGUUGAGAUGGAGCCUUACUCUGUCACCCAGGCUGGAGUGCAGUGGUGCCAUCUCGGCUCAAUGCAACCUCCAUCUCCUGGGUUCAAACAAUCCUCCUGCCUCAGCCUCCCAAGUAGUUGGGACUACGGGUGUGUGCCAUCAUGCCUGACUAAUUUUUGUAUUUUUAGUAGAGAUGAGGUUCAUUAUGUUGACCAGGCUGGUCUUAAACUCCUGACAUCAAGUGAUCUGCCUGCCUCGGCCUCCCAAAGUGCUGGGAUUACAGGUGUGAGCCACUGUACCUGGUCCCAUGUAGUAUCUUGAAAUAAGAUUAUUACAAAAGUGAAAAGCACUGGAAAAGUUACAGAGUUUGCUCAAGAUAUUGUCUGGGGUCAGGAAAAAGAGAUUGGACAGAGCAAGUCUGAAGCACAAGCACGGCAGAAAAAGAAAAUAAAGCCAUUUCCUGACUGCACUUUAUAGGGUCCUGCCUGAUUAAUAAACAAGCUUUUGUCAGAGUAAAGUUAUCUCUGAAUUGGGACUGCUUAGGGCUUCUUUAACCCUGGAACUGUGCUAAAGGUGCCUUACUGUAGCUGGGAGGUGGCAUCCACUAGUGGGGCUGCCAAUCAAAGGGCCUUGCCUCCCCCAUUGCAAAAGUAGGUGUAUGUGCAGGCUGACCAAUUAGGACAACCUGUUUCCAGGUGACGGUGAUGGGUCUGGAGGUGGGCACAUGACUCAAGCAGGGCCAAGCAGAGUCCUUGUCUGUAGAGGGUUAGGAAUGGCAAAAGUCUUUCUCUUCCUGAGAUCAUGAACUGUAAACAUUAUGCAUACUUGUUGUGUCCAGAAUUGUCUUUCCCUUCACGUGGUAAGAGCUUGCUGGAGAAAGAAGCCAAUUCAGAGAGAAGUGAGUUGAGAGACAGAAACAGAGUCCACCUGAUUCAUGAUUACAUUGAUGGAAAAAAAAAGACUCAGGGAUCUGUUUUCUUUUAAUUUUUUUAUUAUUUAUUUAUUGAGACGGAGUCUCACUUCCCC
RNAcentral lists this long non-coding RNA (1463 nucleotides) under Homo sapiens (human). Its description in RNAcentral is "HSALNT0046060". Lineage: Eukaryota; Metazoa; Chordata; Mammalia; Primates; Hominidae. The record is from RNAcentral.